GUCGAGAAUUUUUCACAAUGGGGGAAACCCUGAUGGAGCGACGCCGCGUGGGGGAUGAAUGGCUUCGGCCCGUAAACCCCUGUCAUUUGCGAUCAACCGUUAUUAUUUAAAAGAUGAUGACCUGAUAGUAGCGAAAGAGGAAGGGACGGCUAACUCUGUGCCAGCAGCCGCGGUAAUACAGAGGUCCCGAGCGUUGUUCGGAUUCACUGGGCGUAAAGGGUGCGUAGGUGGUGAGGUGUGUCGGAUGUGAAAUCUCGGAGCUCAACUCCGAAACUGCAUUGGAAACUACCUUGCUGGAGGGUUGGAGGGGGGACUGGAAUACUUGGUGUAGCAGUGAAAUGCGUAGAUAUCAAGUGGAACACCAGUGGCGAAGGCGAGUCCCUGGACAACUCCUGACACUGAGGCACGAAAGCUAGGGGAGCAAACAGGAUUAGAAACCCGAGUAGUCC
RNAcentral lists this ribosomal RNA (449 nucleotides) under uncultured bacterium. RNAcentral's name for it is "bacterial SSU rRNA". It matches the Rfam family "Bacterial small subunit ribosomal RNA", at positions 354 to 796 of the family's 1533-position model. The record is from RNAcentral.